AGCUUGUCAAUGAUGUUUCUCUAAAAAAAAUAUGUCUGAACAUAUGAAUUUUAUAGUGAUUUCAACCUGUAACUGAGAUAAGCU
RNAcentral lists this small nucleolar RNA (84 nucleotides) under Sphenodon punctatus (tuatara). RNAcentral describes it as "Small nucleolar RNA SNORD72 (ENSSPUG00000015276.1)". It matches the Rfam family "Small nucleolar RNA SNORD72". Rfam says of the family: snoRNA HBII-240 belongs to the CD family of snoRNAs. Lineage: Eukaryota; Metazoa; Chordata; Lepidosauria; Sphenodontia; Sphenodontidae. The record is from Rfam by way of RNAcentral.